Non-coding RNA from Onychomys torridus (southern grasshopper mouse), 72 nucleotides. NCBI's taxonomy places the organism in Eukaryota, Metazoa, Chordata, Mammalia, Rodentia, Cricetidae. The record is from the annotation of a RefSeq genome assembly.
GGGGAUUUAGCUCAGUGGUAGAGCGCUUGCCUAUCAAGCACAAGGCCCUGGGUUCGAUCCUCAGCUUCUCCC